RNAcentral lists this ribosomal RNA (506 nucleotides) under uncultured bacterium. RNAcentral describes it as "partial 16S ribosomal RNA". It matches the Rfam family "Bacterial small subunit ribosomal RNA", at positions 29 to 523 of the family's 1533-position model. The record is from RNAcentral.
AGUGAACGCUGGCGGUAGGCCUAACACAUGCAAGUCGAACGGCAGCACAGAGGAGCUUGCUCCUUGGGUGGCGAGUGGCGGACGGGUGAGGAAUACAUCGGAAUCUACUCUGUCGUGGGGGAUAACGUAGGGAAACUUACGCUAAUACCGCAUACGACCUACGGGUGAAAGCAGGGGACCUUCGGGCCUUGCGCGAUUGAAUGAGCCGAUGUCGGAUUAGCUAGUUGGCGGGGUAAAGGCCCACCAAGGCGACGAGCCGGAGCGGGUCUGCGAGGAUGACCAGCCACCCUGGAACUGGGCCAAGGUCCAGACUCCUACGGGAGGCAGCAGUGGGGAAUAUUGGACAAUGGGCGCAAGCCUGAUCCAGCCAUACCGCGUGGGUGAAGAAGGCCUUCGGGUUGUAAAGCCCUUUUGUUGGGAAAGAAAUCCAGCUGGCUAAUACCCGGUUGGGAUGACGGUACCCAAAGAAUAAGCACCGGCUAACUUCGUGCCAGCCGCCGCCGUAA